GCAAACUUGGUCAUUUAGAGGAAGUAAAAGUCGUAACAAGGUUUCCGUAGGUGAACCUGCGGAAGGAUCAUUCGUAGUAUUACUCCCUUUAUGGUUAUGGGGGGAGGUAUUAUGAGUUCCAAUGUAAAGUUUUUAAAAGUAGUUGUAAUUUGCCAAGUAAGGGAAAAAGAAGGAAAUGAAAAGGGGUAAGGAGAAGCCUCUCAGGUAAAUCUCCCCCUCUUUUUUUCUCUUUAAUUUUGAUCUUUUUGGCGUAUAUAGUAAGAAUAAUAAUCUUUCCGAGUGUAUUUUCUUCAAGUGCCAUUAGUUUAUGAUAAAAGAUAUUUUAUAUACAACUUGUAACAAUGGAUCUCUUGGUUCAUGCAUCGAUGAAGAACGCAGC
This 379-nucleotide unclassified non-coding RNA is filed under the name uncultured fungus. RNAcentral's name for it is "partial contains small subunit ribosomal RNA, internal transcribed spacer 1, and 5.8S ribosomal RNA". The stretch from base 1 to 73 matches the Rfam family "Eukaryotic small subunit ribosomal RNA", at positions 1759 to 1831 of the family's 1831-position model. The record is from RNAcentral. Lineage: Eukaryota; Fungi.